Molecule: ribosomal RNA, 253 nt
Filed under: uncultured bacterium
Lineage: Bacteria
Description: partial 16S ribosomal RNA
Rfam family: Bacterial small subunit ribosomal RNA
Source: RNAcentral
UACGACGGGGGCCAGCGUUGGUCGGAAUUACUGGGCGUAAAGCGCACGUAGGCGGAUUUGUUAGUCAGGGGUGAAAUCCCGGGGCUCAACCUCGGAACUGCCUUUGAUACUGCAAGUCUCGAGUCCGGAAGAGGUGGGUGGAAUUCCUAGUGUAGAGGUGAAAUUCGUAGAUAUUAGGAAGAACACCAGUGGCGAAGGCGGCCCACUGGUCCGGUACUGACGCUGAGGUGCGAAAGCGUGGGGAGCAAACAGG